GAGUUUGAUCGUGGCUCAGGACGAACGCUGGCGGCGUGCUUAACACAUGCAAGUCGAACGAUGAAGCCGCUUCGGUGGUGGAUUAGUGGCGAACGGGUGAGUAACACGUGGGCAAUCUGCCCUGCACUCUGGGACAAGCCCUGGAAACGGGGUCUAAUACCGGAUAUGACCUGGUGAGGCAUCUCAUCGGGUGGAAAGCUCCGGCGGUGCAGGAUGAGCCCGCGGCCUAUCAGCUUGUUGGUGGGGUGAUGGCCUACCAAGGCGACGACGGGUAGCCGGCCUGAGAGGGCGACCGGCCACACUGGGACUGAGACACGGCCCAGACUCCUACGGGAGGCAGCAGUGGGGAAU
This 351-nucleotide ribosomal RNA is filed under the name uncultured Actinomycetes bacterium. RNAcentral describes it as "bacterial SSU rRNA". It matches the Rfam family "Bacterial small subunit ribosomal RNA", at positions 9 to 362 of the family's 1533-position model. Lineage: Bacteria; Bacillati; Actinomycetota; Actinomycetes. The record is from RNAcentral.